Dermatophagoides farinae (American house dust mite) is the source of this 464-nucleotide non-coding RNA. NCBI's taxonomy places the organism in Eukaryota, Metazoa, Arthropoda, Arachnida, Sarcoptiformes, Pyroglyphidae. The record is from RefSeq and is a predicted model, not a curated record.
UUUGUGUGUACGUGUGGGUCGACUAUUUCGACAAAAUCAAUAUACACAAAUUGAUUCGAUGUUGAUGAUCAAUGAUUAUUAUGCGAUAUUUUUAUCUGUUGUAUUUUACAAAAAUUAUUUUCAAUUUUCAACUAUACAUUUCGAAAUUGUUGCACGUGUAAACCGGAAACAAUUGUUCAAACAAAUAAUGAUAACAUGCAAUCAAAUUAAAUCAUCAUCAUCAUCAUAUUAUGUCAUGAAAAGGAUGAAAAUAUAUCGUCCAUUUUCAUUGGAUACAACGUGUGGUGUGGAUAACUGUGGAAGGGGAUGUGUAAUACAUUCCUUCGAAUUUAAAAAACAUCGUUUCAUUCGAAUCAUCAUCAUCAUCAUUGAACAGCAUACAGAUCAUAAAAAAAUCCGUAAUUGUCAUACGCCCCAUAAAUCAAUGUGUUAACGAACGAAACAUUCGAAAAAAAAAAACAACA